GUCUAUGGCCAUGCCACCCUGAACAAGCCCGAUCCCAUCUGAUCUUGGAAACUAAGCAGGAUUGGGCCUGGUUAGUACUUGGAUGGGAGACCGCCUAGGAAGACCAGGUGCUGUAGGCA
Molecule: ribosomal RNA, 119 nt
Filed under: Pteropus alecto (black flying fox)
Lineage: Eukaryota; Metazoa; Chordata; Mammalia; Chiroptera; Pteropodidae
Source: RNAcentral